GCGGAUGUAGUUCAAUGGUAGAACACCGGCUUCCCAAGCCGAUAACGCGGGUUCGAUUCCCGUCAUCCGCUCCA
Molecule: transfer RNA, 74 nt
Filed under: Tepidibacillus decaturensis
Lineage: Bacteria; Bacillati; Bacillota; Bacilli; Caryophanales; Bacillaceae
Also listed under: 3 other names
Description: tRNA-Gly
Rfam family: tRNA
About the family: Transfer RNA (tRNA) molecules are approximately 80 nucleotides in length.
Source: RNAcentral